Molecule: ribosomal RNA, 455 nt
Filed under: uncultured bacterium
Lineage: Bacteria
Description: bacterial SSU rRNA
Rfam family: Bacterial small subunit ribosomal RNA
Source: RNAcentral
UACGGAAGGCAGCAGUGGGGAAUAUUGCACAAUGGGCGAAAGCCUGAUGCAGCUAUGCCGCGUGUAUGAAGAAGGCCUUAGGGUUGUAAAGUACUUUCAUCGGGGAGGAAAAAACAAAACUAAUAAUUUUAUUUCUUGACGUUACCCGAAAAAGAAGCACCGGCUAACUCCGUGCCAGCAGCCGCGGUAAUACGGAGGGUGCUAGCGUUAAUCAGAAUUACUGGGCGUAAAGAGCACGUAGGUGGUUUUUUAAGUCAGAUGUGAAAUCCCUGGGCUUAACCUAGGAACUGCAUUUUGAAACUGAAAUACUAGAGUAUCGUAGAGGGAGGUAGAAUUCUAGGUGUAGCGGUGAAAUGCGUAGAUAUCUGGAGGAAUACCUGUGGCGAAAGCGGCCUCCUAAACGAAUACUGACACUGAGGUGCGAAAGCAUGGGGAGCAAACAGGGAUUAGAUACC